AUUGAACGCUGGCGGCAUGCUUUACACAUGCAAGUCGAACGGCAGCACGAAAGAGCUUGCUCUUUUGGUGGCGAGUGGCGAACGGGUGAGUAAUGCAUCGGAACGUACCGAGUAAUGGGGGAUAACUAUCCGAAGGAUAGCUAAUACCGCAUACGCUUUGAGAAGGAAAGUGGGGGCCCUUCGGACCUCACGUUAUUCGAGCGGCCGAUGUCUGAUUAGCUAGUUGGUGGGGUAAAGGCCUACCAAGGCGACGAUCAGUAGCGGGUCUGAGAGGAUGAUCCGCCACACUGGGACUGAGACACGGCCCAGACUCCUACGGGAGGCAGCAGUGGGGAAUUUUGGACAAUGGGCGCAAGCCUGAUCCAGCCAUGCCGCGUGUCUGAAGAAGGCCUUCGGGUUGUAAAGGACUUUUGUUAGGGAAGAAAAGGAUAGUGUUAAUACCAUUAUCUGCUGACG
Molecule: ribosomal RNA, 456 nt
Filed under: Kingella oralis
Lineage: Bacteria; Pseudomonadati; Pseudomonadota; Betaproteobacteria; Neisseriales; Neisseriaceae
Description: bacterial SSU rRNA
Rfam family: Bacterial small subunit ribosomal RNA
Source: RNAcentral